RNAcentral lists this ribosomal RNA (385 nucleotides) under uncultured Dinobryon. RNAcentral's name for it is "SSU rRNA". It matches the Rfam family "Eukaryotic small subunit ribosomal RNA", at positions 585 to 972 of the family's 1831-position model. Lineage: Eukaryota; Chrysophyceae; Chromulinales. The record is from RNAcentral.
CCAGCUCCAAUAGCGUAUACUAAAGUUGUUGCAGUUAAAAAGCUCGUAGUUGAAUUUCUGGUCUCGGACAGCGGUCUGCCUCAACCGAGGUAUGUACUAUCUGUCUAAGUCCAUCCUCGGGGAAAACUUAUCUCUGAUUAAGUUCAGGGGUAUGGGAUCCUCGUCAUUUACUGUGAGCAAAAUAGAGUGUUCAAAGCAGGCUUAUGCCGUUGAAUAUUUUAGCAUGGAAUAAUAAGAUAAGACCUUGGUCGAUUUUGUUGGUUUGUACUCCAAGGUAAUGAUUAACAGGGAUAGUUGGGGGUAUUCGUAUUCAAUUGUCAGAGGUGAAAUUCUUGGAUUUAUGGAAGACGAACUACUGCGAAAGCAUUUACCAAGGAUGUUUUCA